UACAGAAGCCCCACUCAACACCCUAGAUAGCCUGGGGCCUCCAGAGCGUGAGGAAAACAUAACAAACGAGAAAACCAAACUUUACUAAUUUUUUUCAAGUUUAAAACAGUCACCACACUGCUGCAACAUACAUGAGCAAGUAGAAUUCAUGCAUACCCUCUCCCAGUUGGACAGUAAAGGCAAGGUCCAUGUGGAUCAUAAAUUCGUCUUAUGGCACAUAUGUCCCCUCUCAUGGAUGAAGUAACUCUGAUUGGGUCAAGAGAGCAUGGGUUUGGGGGUGUCCUGAGAGGUCAGAUCCCCUGGAUCUGAAGUUGUAAGAAGUUAUGAGCUGCCUGCCACAGGUGCUGGGACCUGAACUCUGUUCCUCUUGAAGAGCAUCAAGCGAUCAUAACCGCGAUCUAACCGCUGAGUCAUUUCUCUAGUCCCACAAAGGCAGUCUCUAAGGCGGGUAUGGGGUAGAGGUGGGGAC
This is a long non-coding RNA of Mus musculus (house mouse), 469 nucleotides long. RefSeq annotates it as predicted gene, 39683. The record is from RefSeq and is a predicted model, not a curated record. The transcript is spliced from 3 exons. Lineage: Eukaryota; Metazoa; Chordata; Mammalia; Rodentia; Muridae.